This 149-nucleotide transfer RNA is filed under the name Candidatus Helarchaeota archaeon. RNAcentral describes it as "tRNA-Leu". It matches the Rfam family "tRNA". From Rfam's summary of the family: Transfer RNA (tRNA) molecules are approximately 80 nucleotides in length. Their secondary structure includes four short double-helical elements and three loops (D, anti-codon, and T loops). Further hydrogen bonds mediate the characteristic L-shaped molecular structure. tRNAs have two regions of fundamental functional importance: the anti-codon, which is responsible for specific mRNA codon recognition, and the 3' end, to which the tRNAs corresponding amino acid is attached (by aminoacyl-tRNA synthetases). tRNAs cope with the degeneracy of the genetic code in two manners: having more than one tRNA (with a specific anti-codon) for a particular amino acid; and 'wobble' base-pairing, i.e. permitting non-standard base-pairing at the 3rd anti-codon position. The record is from RNAcentral. Lineage: Archaea; Promethearchaeati; Candidatus Helarchaeota.
GCAGAGGUAGCCAAGCCUGGUAAACGGAAACUGGAACGUGGGUCAGUUUAUCAGCCAAACGGCGCUGGACUUAAGAUCCAGUCUCGAAGGAGAUUGAAACGACGAGUCGUUUGGACCUGUUUCCGUGGGUUCGAAUCCCACCCUCUGCA